RNAcentral lists this ribosomal RNA (433 nucleotides) under uncultured bacterium. RNAcentral describes it as "partial 16S ribosomal RNA". It matches the Rfam family "Bacterial small subunit ribosomal RNA", at positions 29 to 507 of the family's 1533-position model. The record is from RNAcentral.
AACGAACGCUGGCGGCAUGCCUAACACAUGCAACUCGAACGAGACCUUCGGGUCUAGUGGCGCAAGGGUGCGUAACGCGUGGGAACCUGCCCUUAGGUUCGGAAUAACUCCCCGAAAGGGGUGCUAAUACCGGAUAAUGUCUUCGGACCAAAGAUUUAUCGCCUUUGGAUGGGCCCGCGUUGGAUUAGCUAGUUGGUAGGGUAAAAGCCUACCAAGGCGACGAUCCAUAGCUGGUCUGAGAGGAUGAUCAGCCACACUGGGACUGAGACACGGCCCAGACUCCUACGGGAGGCAGCAGUGGGGAAUAUUGGACAAUGGGCGAAAGCCUGAUCCAGCAAUGCCGCGUGAGUGAUGAAGGCCAUAGGGUUGUAAAGCUCUUUUACCCGGGACGAUAAUGACAGUACCGGGAGAAUAAGCUCCGGCUGACUCCGUG